RNAcentral lists this ribosomal RNA (460 nucleotides) under uncultured bacterium. Its description in RNAcentral is "partial 16S ribosomal RNA". It matches the Rfam family "Bacterial small subunit ribosomal RNA", at positions 338 to 795 of the family's 1533-position model. The record is from RNAcentral.
CCUACGGGUGACAGCAGUGAGGAAUAUUGGUCAAUGGACGGAAGUCUGAACCAGCCAAGUAGCGUGAAGGAUGACUGCCCUAUGGGUUGUAAACUUCUUUUAUAUGGGAAUAAAAUGCUUCACGUGUGGGAUUUUGUCUGUACCAUAUGAAUAAGGAUCGGCUAACUCCGUGCCAGCAGCCGCGGUAAUACGGAGGAUCCGAGCGUUAUCCGGAUUUAUUGGGUUUAAAGGGGGCGUAGGUGGCGUGUUAAGUCAGGUGUGAAAGUUUGGGGCUCAACCGUAAAAAUGCAUUUGAAACUGGCAGGCUAGAGUACAGUAGAGGUAGGCGGAAUUCGUUGUGUAGCGGUGAAAUGCAUAGAUAUAACGUAGAACACCGAUUGCGAAGGCAGUUCACUGGACUGCAACUGACACUGAUGCACGAGAGUAUGGGUAGCAAACAGGAUUAGAUACCCUGGUAGUC